UCUCUGGUCUUCCCGUUCGUCAGACAGCCGCUUCUUCUAGUGCAGCGCCAGCCGCAUCCCCGAGGCACCAUGGUGAAACCCAAGGUCGGAGUAAACGGCUUUGGUCGGAUUGGGCGCCUGGUCUGCAGGGCUGCUUUUAACUCUGGCAAAGUGGAUAUUGUCACCAUCAAUGACCCCUUCAUUGACCUCAACUACAUGGUCUACAUGUUCCAGUAUGAUUCCACCCAUGGCAAAUUCCAUGACACAGUCAAGGCUGAGAACGGGAAGCUUGUCAUCAAUGGAAAUCCCAUAACCAUCUUCCAGGAGCAAGAUCCCACCAAAAUCAAAUGGGGUGAGGCAGGUGCUGAGUAUGUUGUGGAGUCCACUGAUGUCUUCACCACUAUGGAGAAGGCUGGGGCUCACCUACAGGGGGGUGCCAAAAGGGUCAUCAUCUCUGCCCCUUCUGCUGAUGUCCCCAUGUUUGUGAUGGGUGUGAACCAUGAGAAGUACAAAAACAGCCUCAGCGUUGUCAGCAAUGCCUCCUGCACCACCAACUGCUUAGCCCCCUUGGCUAAGGACAUCCAUGACAACUUCGGCAUUGUGGAGGGACUCAUGACCACAAUCCAUGCCAUCACUGCCACCCAGAAGACUGUGGAUGGCCCCUCUGGGAAGUUGUGGCGUGAUGGUCGUGGGGCUCUCCAGAACAUCAUCCCUGCCUCAACUGGUGCAGCCAAGGCUGUGGGCAAGGUCAUCCCUGAGCUGAAUGGGAAGCUUACUGGCAUGGCUUUCCGUGUCCCCACUGCCAAUGUGUUGGUUGUGGAUCUCACCUGCCAUCUGGAGAUGGCUGCCAAAUACGAUGAUAUCAAGAAGGUGGUGAAGCAGGUAUCAGAGGGCCCCCUCAAGGGCAUCCUGGGUUACACCGAGCACCAGGUCAUCUCCUCUGACUUCAACAGUGACAGCCAUUCUUCCACCUUUGAAACUGGGGCUGGCAUUGCCCUCAAUGACCACUUUGUCAAACUCAUUGCCUGGUAUGAUAAUGAAUUUGGCUACAGCAACAGGGUGGUGGAUCUUAUGGCCCACAUGGCCUCCAAGGAGUAAGAACCCCCAGACCACCAGCCCUAGCCAGAGCACGAGAGGAAGAGAAAGGCCCUUAGCUGCUGGGGUGCCCCUGCCUACUCAGUCCCUCACCUCACUGUGAAUCUCCCCUCAACACAGUUUCCACCCAGACCCCCUAAAGAACAGGAGGGGCCUAGGGAGCCCCACCUUGUCAUGUAACAUCAAUAAAGUUCCCUGAAUUCAA
This is an RNA transcript of Otolemur garnettii (small-eared galago), 1279 nucleotides long. It is a transcript of the gene named glyceraldehyde-3-phosphate dehydrogenase pseudogene, with no coding region annotated. The transcript has a single exon. NCBI's taxonomy places the organism in Eukaryota, Metazoa, Chordata, Mammalia, Primates, Galagidae. The record is from RefSeq and is a predicted model, not a curated record.